RNAcentral lists this transfer RNA (75 nucleotides) under Pennahia argentata (silver croaker). Its description in RNAcentral is "tRNA-Lys". It matches the Rfam family "tRNA". Rfam says of the family: Transfer RNA (tRNA) molecules are approximately 80 nucleotides in length. Their secondary structure includes four short double-helical elements and three loops (D, anti-codon, and T loops). The record is from RNAcentral. Lineage: Eukaryota; Metazoa; Chordata; Actinopteri; Sciaenidae.
CGCUGAGAAGCUAAUAUAGGGACUAGCAUUAGCCUUUUAAGCUAAAGAUUGGUGGCUCCCAACCACCCUCAGCGA